RNAcentral lists this ribosomal RNA (480 nucleotides) under uncultured bacterium. RNAcentral's name for it is "partial 16S ribosomal RNA". It matches the Rfam family "Bacterial small subunit ribosomal RNA", at positions 29 to 507 of the family's 1533-position model. The record is from RNAcentral.
AACGAACGCUGGCGGCAUGCCUAACACAUGCAAGUCGAACGAUACCUUCAGGUCUUGUGGCUUCGGCAUACAUUCCUUUUGGGAUCGUGCCCUUAGGGUCGGUAUCGCUUGCCCAACCUACUUCUUACACCGGGUUAUCUUCUCGAAACCGGGAUUUAUCCCCUUUGACUUUGCCACCAUUCAUUUCGCUGCAUUCAAAGCUACGACCGUACGAGAUGGGCUCGCGUUGCAUUAUCCAGAUGGUUUGGUAACGGCUCACCAUAGUAACGAUGGCUAACCGGGCUGAGAGGAUGAACAGUCACACUGGAACUGAGACACGGUCCAGACUCCUACGGGAGGAAGCAGUGGGGAAUAUUGGACAAUGGGCGAAAGUCUGAUGCAGCGACGCCGCGUGAGUGAUGAAGGAAUUAGUGUCGUAAAGCUCUGUUAUAUGGGAAGAAAAGGACAGUACCGGAGGAGUAAGCUCCGGCUAAAUACGUG